Ornithorhynchus anatinus (platypus) is the source of this 72-nucleotide non-coding RNA. NCBI's taxonomy places the organism in Eukaryota, Metazoa, Chordata, Mammalia, Monotremata, Ornithorhynchidae. The record is from Rfam.
AGCAGCAUGGCUCAGUGGAAAGGGCAUUGGCUUGGGAGUCAGAGGUCCUGGGUUCGAAACCCUGCUCUGCCA